AACGGCGAGUGAAGCGGCAACAGCUCAAAUUUGAAAUCUGGCUCUUUCAGGGUCCGAGUUGUAAUUUGCAGAGGGCGCUUUGGCGUUGGCAGCGGUCCAAGUUCUUUGGAACAGGACGUCACAGAGGGUGAGAAUCCCGUACGUGGUCGCUAGCCUUCGCCGUGUAAAGCCCCUUCGACGAGUCGAGUUGUUUGGGAAUGCAGCUCUAAAUGGGAGGUAAAUUUCUUCUAAAGCUAAAUACUGGCCAGAGACCGAUAGCGCACAAGUAGAGUGAUCGAAAGAUGAAAAGCACUUUGGAAAGAGAGUCAAAUAGCACGUGAAAUUGUUGAAAGGGAAGCGCUUGCAGCCAGACUUGCCUGUAGUUGCUUAUCUGGACUUUUGUCCGGUGCACUCUUCUGCGGGCAGGCCAGCAUCAGUUUGGGCGGUUGGAUAAAGGUCUCUGUCAUGUACCUCCUUUCGGGGAGGCCUUAUAGGGGAGACGACAUGCAACCAGCCUGGACUGAGGUCCGCGCAUCUGCUAGGAUGCUGGCGUAAUGGCUGUAAGCGGCCCGUCUUGAAACACGGACCAAGGAGUCUAACAUCUAUGCGAGUGUUUGGGUGUCAAGCCCAGACGCGUAAUGAAAGUGAACGGAGGUGGGAACCCUUUGGGUGCACCAUCGACCGAUCCUGAUGUCUUCGGAUGGAUUUGAGUAAGAGCAUGGCUGUUGGGACCCGAAAGAUGGUGAACUAUGCUUGAAUAGGGUGAAGCCAGAGGAAACUCUGGUGGAGGCUCGCAGCGGUUCUGACGUGCAAAUCGAUCGUCAAAUUUGGGCAUAG
Molecule: ribosomal RNA, 816 nt
Filed under: Phaeosphaeria podocarpi
Lineage: Eukaryota; Fungi; Ascomycota; Dothideomycetes; Pleosporales; Phaeosphaeriaceae
Description: eukaryotic LSU rRNA
Rfam family: Eukaryotic large subunit ribosomal RNA
Source: RNAcentral